This 262-nucleotide ribosomal RNA is filed under the name uncultured bacterium. RNAcentral's name for it is "partial 16S ribosomal RNA". It matches the Rfam family "Bacterial small subunit ribosomal RNA", at positions 75 to 339 of the family's 1533-position model. The record is from RNAcentral.
UGCUUUCGGGCAGCAGGAACCGGCGAACGGGUGCGUAACACGUAUGCAACCUACCUAUAACUGGGGGAUAGCCCGAGGAAACUCGGAUUAAUACCGUAUACCUCCUUCGGGAGAAAGAAGGCCUCUCUUUGAAGCUUUCGCUACUAGAUGAGCCUGCGUUAGAUUAGCUAGUUGGUGAGGUAAUGGCUCACCAAGACAAUGAUCAAUAGCUGAUCUGAGAGGAUGAUCAGCCACACUGGGACUGAGACACGGCCCAGACUCC